RNAcentral lists this ribosomal RNA (626 nucleotides) under uncultured Eubacteriales bacterium. RNAcentral describes it as "bacterial SSU rRNA". It matches the Rfam family "Bacterial small subunit ribosomal RNA", at positions 28 to 674 of the family's 1533-position model. Lineage: Bacteria; Bacillati; Bacillota; Clostridia; Eubacteriales. The record is from RNAcentral.
AUUGAACGCUGGCGGCAGGCUUAACACAUGCAAGUCGAGCGGAGUUGUGGUGCUUGCACCAUAACUUAGCGGCGGACGGGUGAGUAAUGCUUAGGAAUCUGCCUAUUAGUGGGGGACAACAUUUCGAAAGGAAUGCUAAUACCGCAUACGCCCUACGGAGGAGAGCAGGGGAUCUUCGGACCUUGUGCUAAUAGAUGAGCCUAAGUCGGAUUAGCUAGUUGGUGGGGUAAAGGCCUACCAAGGCGACGAUCUGUAGCCGGACUGAGAGGUUGAACGGCCACAUUGGGACUGAGACACGGCCCAGACUCCUACGGGAGGCAGCAGUGGGGAAUAUUGCACAAUGGGGGAAACCCUGAUGCAGCGACGCCGCGUGGAGGAAGAAGGUCUUCGGAUUGUAAACUCCUGUUGUUGAGGAAGAUAAUGACGGUACUCAACAAGGAAGUGACGGCUAACUACGUGCCAGCAGCCGCGGUAAAACGUAGGUCACAAGCGUUGUCCGGAAUUACUGGGGUGUAAAGGGAGCGCAGGCGGGAAGACAAGUUGGAAGUGAAAUCCACGGGCUCAACCCAUGAACUGCUUUCAAACUGUUUUUCUUGAGUAGUGCAGAGGUAGGCGGAAUCCCCGGU